CUUUCCUCGAAACGUCUUCAAAAAGCUUCUCUAGAUACUCCUGGUCACUUCAAGCAAACGAAAAAAUGCUGCAGACCGACCUGUAUCUCUCUCCAGUUCAGAUUCGGGGGAACUUAUUAACAUAUUGCUUGCCGCAUCAGAUCUCAGUUUUUAAUCAAAUGGCUCAUGGUGUUCCUUGACUGAAAUCCCCUAUGCGACUUAUUUCAGGCUCCACAGAUACAGGGACCCUGGAUGUAUGCAUGUAUGUUAUGUACAAAUUAUAAAAGAAAGCCAAAAGGAGUAAAGUCGAAGGCAAAGUAAAAAGAAGCAAACAAGGAGACAGAGUUCCUAAAAGAAAGGCACUUUGCAAAAACAUGGAGGAAAUCUGAUCCGAAGAUCCAGUGGGACCAUGUAAGAUCACUCUGAAAAAAAAACAAGAAAAUCCAUCUCAAUAGAGAAAAAAGGGCACACCAAGAUGAAUAAAAGAAACAGUAAAAGCAGAUCCAGGCCAAUCCUCAUGUAUUCACAAUGGGAUCCAAGAAUCAGAUCCAGUUUUAUAGAAUGAUGUCAGGGUUUCAUGCACCAAUAAAGCAAGUUUAUCCACUAAAAUAAUAA
This is a long non-coding RNA of Spea bombifrons (plains spadefoot toad), 594 nucleotides long. RefSeq lists it as uncharacterized. The record is from RefSeq and is a predicted model, not a curated record. NCBI's taxonomy places the organism in Eukaryota, Metazoa, Chordata, Amphibia, Anura, Pelobatidae. The transcript has 2 exons.